CUUGUACGGUUCCUUGGAUUAAUAGGGAAGGCGGUCUGAAUCCGCCGCAACAGCCAUUACCGUGUUCAGCCGAAAGGAGCGCAUUGUGCCACUGAGUUUUUGGGAAGGCGCGUUCUGCUAUGACUGUCAGCCGGGAGACCUGCCGUGCUCGU
Molecule: non-coding RNA, 152 nt
Filed under: uncultured Ruminococcus sp.
Lineage: Bacteria; Bacillati; Bacillota; Clostridia; Eubacteriales; Oscillospiraceae
Source: RNAcentral